RNAcentral lists this ribosomal RNA (271 nucleotides) under uncultured bacterium. RNAcentral describes it as "partial 16S ribosomal RNA". It matches the Rfam family "Bacterial small subunit ribosomal RNA", at positions 524 to 794 of the family's 1533-position model. The record is from RNAcentral.
AACGUAGGUACCGAGCGUUAUCCGGAUUCACUGGGCGUAAAGCGCGUGCAGGUGGUUUGGUAAGUCGGGCAUGAAAACUCUUGGCUCAACUGAGAGAAGCUGUUCGAUACUGCCGGACUGGAGGGUGUGAGAGGGAGGUGGAAUUCCGCGUGUAGUGGUGAAAUGCGUAGAUAUGCGGAGGAACACCAGUGGCGAAGGCGGCCUCCUGGCACACUCCUGACACUCAGACGCGAAAGCUAGGGGAGCGAACGGGAUUAGAAACCCCUGUAGU